GAGCUACUCCCUCCGUCCGGAAAUACUUGUCGGAGAAAUGGAUAAGAAUAGAUGUAUCUAGAACUUAAAUGCGUCUAGAUACAUCCAUCUGUACGACAAGUAUUUCCGGGCGGAGGGAGUAGUAA
Non-coding RNA from Triticum aestivum (bread wheat), 125 nucleotides. NCBI's taxonomy places the organism in Eukaryota, Viridiplantae, Streptophyta, Magnoliopsida, Poales, Poaceae. The record is from Rfam.